Non-coding RNA from Pseudomonas sp. ABAC61, 423 nucleotides. The record is from Rfam. NCBI's taxonomy places the organism in Bacteria, Pseudomonadati, Pseudomonadota, Gammaproteobacteria, Pseudomonadales, Pseudomonadaceae.
AUACGUGUAGGGUGGAGAUGCACAACCGUCGGACUGUGUAGCAUUAGGCUUUAUCAAGACGCUUCAUCUCGUCCACAGUCGCCGGUUGAUUCCUCCUCCUGACAGACUUUUGCUUAAGCGGUGCCUUAGUCACCACAGCAAGCAGGACGCGUGAGUCGCGACUUCGUNUGUAGCAUUAGGCUUUAUCAAGACGCUUCAUCUCGUCCACAGUCGCCGGUUGAUUCCUCCUCCUGACAGACUUUUGCUUAAGCGGUGCCUUAGUCACCACAGCAAGCAGGACGCGUGAGUCGCGACUUCGUUCCCGGUUACCGACAGGAACGAACAUCGUUAGACACUCGAGUGGUCAACCACUCCUGACGCACCUGACACCGACCGUGAGAAGUCGUGUGUGCCGAACGCCGUUUCCGGCAGCCCGGAAACCGA